RNAcentral lists this long non-coding RNA (552 nucleotides) under Phoenix dactylifera (date palm). RNAcentral describes it as "long non-coding RNA (PDAC_LNC021889)". Lineage: Eukaryota; Viridiplantae; Streptophyta; Magnoliopsida; Arecales; Arecaceae. The record is from RNAcentral.
UUUUCUUUUUCUUUUUUCUGAAAAGAAAGAACAGGCUUUAUUUCAUUUCUGCUUUUAGUGAAUUAUAGGUAUUACUAGUAAAAUUGUACUUGUACAUUAUGUCUAUAGAGAUACGAGUCCUUAGCAUGACUACAUAUUGUAAACAAUUACUAUGCUUACAUGGUAGUUGACAGCACUUGUGCUGGAGAUAAAAUGCUAUUCGAUAUUCAUGUGGAACUUAGGUCUUUCCUUGCCUCUUCCAAAUAUUGCAUGCAUAAAAUUUAAAAAUAAAAAAAGUAGUCAUUCUCUUAAAUUUCAUGCUUAACUUGCUAAGAGGCCACUAAGCGUUGGUUUGGCACUCCCUGCUCGACUAACCAGAAAAAAACCUAAUUGCAAUCUAAUUUGAUUCAGCAAUCUCACAAACAAACUCGCACCAGAUCAAAUUAAGAAUAUUAAUUGCAUAUAAUUCGGGUUUGUCUGAAAAAACCAACUAGGUUUGGUUGGAUUGCAAGUUUAUGCUUGAGUUACAUUUUUGGUUGGGUCUAGUUACUAAGUAGAUCCAUUGAGCCAUUG